CACGGAAAACCUGGUAGGGGCGGCUCCAUCUCCGUUGAGCGAGCGCCCUCGGUCUCCAUUCUUUGCUCGGCUUUUGCUGCCAUUGCUGUCUUGCUAUGCGCACCAUUGCGCUGGGACGAUACCACUGGCCGGACGCCAGCAAGCGACGCUGACACAGCGGUGGUCGGCGAAGAGUGAGGUGGAGGGAGAAGAGGAUUGCCGCGCUCGUGUCGAUCGCAGCGUGCGCGGUCCCCAGACGCUUGGAGUUGCGAAGUUUUCUGCUUCGUAUCCCUUCCCUGGUGCCCACUGCCGUACGUGAGCAGGGCUUCGACGCAAGCGGCUUUGCAUCUUUUUUCAUUGAGAGGGGCCCCAGCGCUGAUUUGCGUGUGCUGCAGAGCGCGAUGUACCGGUACGUUGCUUCACGUCAACGAUGUGGUGUGUGCGACCACUUCGGCUUUGUCACAGACACAUCCGAGCGCUGGACUUCGGCGACCGCGCUUGCGUGUCUGCGCCGAUCCAAGCAUGAUCAGCAUCCCCAGCAGCAAGAACGUGCACAUGCGAUUCCCACUUCACGCACCGUGAAGCUGCGGCGUGCCAUGUGGAUGCGUAUGCACCCAGUGGAGCGCUGGACCUCGCUCGUGGAUCUUGGCCGGCGUAGCGCGUACUUAAUUGAGAAGCCUGCUCGACUGUCGCCGUCGGCAGCGCGUGAAGUGUCAGGCAAGUCCACGCCGGUCUCCAGCGACGGCCGUGGCAGUGCAUCGGUGCUAGGGAGUGCAGACCCAAAGGUGCGCUUCACACCGGAGGCUACAGAGGCACAUUGGCAACUGUGCCAUGCGCUGCCCUACGCUGCACGCCUCCAUCUCUGCCUUUCGGCGCUUCUGUGGAUCCGCUGCUUGCAGGAUGUGCAGGACACACUGGCGCGGGUGCGGCUGCCGUUUGCCGCGGUGCGGCGCCCAGAGCGAUACGCCGUGGCGGACGUCUUCCCAACUCGCUUGAGGGAAUACUGGGUCGAUGCACACACCACCGUGUCGACCAAGAUGAGCGCCCAGCUGAACUCGACGGCGGAGCAGAUCCCGGCGCCGCACGCGUGGGACGCUGAGACGUCGGAGACCAUCGAGGACGCAGCGACAGAGGCCACGAUGACGCUGGAUGCGGGCCGCGUGUUGCAUGGACGCCACCAAGCCCGCCGAAGCGGAAAGACGCUCUUGCACCAGGUGCAGGGGUUGCAGCCGCGGGCGAGUGCUGAGGACGACAUAGCAGCGCGACUGACGGGCACAGGGUCGCCGAGUGGCAGCCGACGCCGCCGCCGUCGGCUGCCGACUGCAUCGUCGCUAGCGCCCCAUGCCCUCUCCGUGGAGUCUGCCCCCGCGUCUUCGGCGUGGCCGGGCUCACUUGAGUUCGCCUCUGAUGCAUCUCGCCACGUGCCGCCGGUGUCGCUAGAAACGGAGCCGCUCGAGGACGCAGCUUACCACGGCAACGACAACCGCGGCGAGGGUUGCCCGCUGAACCAAGACGGAAAGGCGUCGCCGACGCCCAUCUUCAUCUGGGUCCCACCCACCAUGCAUAGUGCCGCCGCCAGUCCCGGCGGCGCGCUGCCUACUGAGGCGGAGCUUCUCGUGAGGUACUGCGUCAUGGCGCACGCCGCGGUUUUAUCCAGUCUGUUUAUCGAGGGCCGCGUGGUGGACUUCGGCAGCAACCACCCGCUGGUAGUCGCCUACGUGCGGUGGCUGCUCGACGAGCUUGUGCUGGAGCACUUUGUGUCUGUGUCCUUGCUCGCUGAGGCUGAGGUGGCUGGGUACCGACCUUAUUAUCCACACUGGUGCUGGCGCACUGUACUCGUGCUGAUGCCCCCCAAGUACUGCGGCGGCUACUCAGCCGCGCUGCUGCGAGACUGGGCUUCACGCAUUGUACAGGCGGCCCCAUGCUCUGUACUGGUGGAAGGCCAUGCUGGUGCAGGGUAUGUCAAGCAGCUGAAGGAGGAGGUGCGACUGCUACAAAACGCUCUUGAUGACGCAGAGGGCAUGAGGGCGGUGGCGUGGGUGGCGGUAGGCGUUACGGUUCCCGUGGAAACUGCGCCAAGAGAGAGCGCCGCCAGCGCUGCUGGGGCAGCUGCCAGUGACAGCAAUCACAACGGCAAAGAGGAAGCGAAGGUGCCGCAGUUUCGACCGCAGCGCUGCCCUAGAGCCGUUCCCUCGUUAUCAACGUUCGUCUCGGAGGCUAGCUUGGCAUCGGUUCGGUGGUUAGGCGAGUGGCUCGAGCCAGGGUCAUCGGAAGCGACUGCUCAGAGCACUUCCCGUCAAACGGCCUUUCUCGAGGCGGUGAGGGAGACGCUGGAGGAUCGCUUCUACACCUGCGAGGUACUCUACUCCCCAGCCCAGUCGUGCCUGACCCCCUACCGCUUUGAGCGAUGGGUGCUGGAGCAGCUUCCCGGAAAUGUGCGCGUGGUCGGCAUCAACACAUCCCCUUUCGAUGUACUGUACUUCUUUCCUCAGGGCGUGUUUCUGAGCCAGAAGGUGGGCAAUGCCUUCCGCUACCGGGCCGUGGAGAGAACAGUAGUGGCGAAGGAUGUGAUUCCUUCCUGGAGGACGCAUCCACUGCGGCAUGCGGUGACCCAGUUGAAGCGGCUGAGCCGGCGCUGGCGGAGGCGAGGCGAUGAUGUGGCGAGUGGCCUGCACGCCGAGUUCUCACCAUCGGAUCUCGCCGAGCUGAGGCGCGCCGCGCGUGCUGUAUCCCUCUCAACCCCUAAUCCCGAUGCAGCGCCGUGCAGCGAUGCUGCGGGCAUUCCACCGGAAGCUUCAGCAGCGGAGAACGCGUCACAUGCGCUUGUUCGCGAGCGCACGGUAGAGUAUCUGGCUGAACCUUCAAAGAGGACGCUGCUAGGGUUGGCAGUGGCGCGCUUCUUCCGCGUCUAGCAUGCACCUUCCGCGAGUUCUCCGGCCCGUGAUCCUUCCGUGUAUCUCCCUUCAUACACGCAACGCACGCCUUUACAUUAUCGACAUAGCUCUUUUCUACCUUCGCUCGCCAUCGCUGGGACUUCGC
RNAcentral lists this unclassified non-coding RNA (3018 nucleotides) under Leishmania donovani. RNAcentral's name for it is "gene:LdHU3.33.1110(CDS-product:hypothetical_prote in_conserved)". Lineage: Eukaryota; Euglenozoa; Kinetoplastea; Trypanosomatida; Trypanosomatidae. The record is from RNAcentral.